ACUUGCCAUGCAUCGAUCCGGUGUUCUCUUAUAAGACGUGAUUAAUUAUUUCAGUAUGAAAAGUAAACUCAGCAUGUGCGCACGAACUGUGAGAGUUGAUUAUCGAUCAAAUUAGGCUAAUAAAAAAACAGGGUGACGCCCGACUUACUUAUCACCGCUACACUACCAUUUACGAUUCUCAGUAGCUCUGUCGAACUGAUACCUACAUAUAUUAGCAAACUUGGAAGACUCCAUAGAGUUUUCAAGUAGCCUGAAACAAAAGACCCAUAGAGUUUCAAGCAGGACAAACAAGCACAAAAGAAGUUAGUGCAUAGUGGCGGUCUUAAUAUAAGCAGCACUUUCUGGAGGACGUCCAUUUCAAACAUUCUCAUUAUUCGAAUAUUUUACUGCUCCCAGACCACGAUGUACUUCUUACGAAUAAUCCUCCUAGCCAUAUUCUUCACUACAAUGUUCGUUAAAGCGGCUCCAAAACAUUGUGACUGUGUAUUUCACGAUGAUAUAGAAGAAACUACACACCACGAACAUGGUUCUCUAAAAUUCAAAAUUGGAAAUAAUAUAAGAAUUAAGUAUGAAAGGAGAAAAGUAAAAAAAACACGUAGUAAUCUACAACAACAACAAUAAACAAAAUAAAUUUAGUCAAUGACUG
Hyposmocoma kahamanoa is the source of this 646-nucleotide long non-coding RNA. RefSeq lists it as uncharacterized. NCBI's taxonomy places the organism in Eukaryota, Metazoa, Arthropoda, Insecta, Lepidoptera, Cosmopterigidae. The transcript is spliced from 3 exons. The record is from RefSeq and is a predicted model, not a curated record.